RNAcentral lists this ribosomal RNA (427 nucleotides) under uncultured bacterium. RNAcentral's name for it is "partial 16S ribosomal RNA". It matches the Rfam family "Bacterial small subunit ribosomal RNA", at positions 355 to 774 of the family's 1533-position model. The record is from RNAcentral.
UGGGGAAUAUUGCACAAUGGGCGCAAGCCUGAUGCAGCCAUGCCGCGUGUAUGAAGAAGGCCUUCGGGUUGUAAAGUACUUUCAGCGGGGAGGAAGGCGAUAAGGUUAAUAACCUUGUCGAUUGACGUUACCCGCAGAAGAAGCACCGGCUAACUCCGUGCCAGCAGCCGCGGUAAUACGGAGGGUGCAAGCGGUAAUAGGAAUUACUGGGCGUAAAGCGCACGCAGGCGGUCUGUCAAGUCGGAUGUGAAAUCCCCGGGCUCAACCUGGGAACUGCAUUCGAAACUGGCAGGCUAGAGUCUUGUAGAGGGGGGUAGAAUUCCAGGUGUAGCGGUGAAAUGCGUAGAGAUCUGGAGGAAUACCGGUGGCGAAGGCGGCCCCCUGGACAAAGACUGACGCUCAGGUGCGAAAGCGUGGGGAGCAAACA